This is a non-coding RNA of Clarias gariepinus (North African catfish), 351 nucleotides long. The record is from the annotation of a RefSeq genome assembly. NCBI's taxonomy places the organism in Eukaryota, Metazoa, Chordata, Actinopteri, Siluriformes, Clariidae.
AUGUUCUCUACAUUUCUACUGCUCCUGCUGGCAGCUGCUUCCUAUGUUCAUUCUUAUGAACUGACUCAGCCUGCUGCAAUGACAGUCCAGCCAGGCCAGAGUCUCUCCAUCCCCUGCAAGCCUUCAUAUUCAGUUACAAGUGCAGCUACAGCUUGGAUCCGACAACCUGCAGGAAAAGCUCUGGAGUGGAUUGGAAACAUCUAUAGUGACGGGAGUACAGACUACAGUGACAAACUGAAAAAUAAGUUUAGCCUCUCCAGAGACACUUCUACUAACACAGUAACAAUUCAAGGACAGAAUCUGCAAACUGAAGACACAGCUGUGUAUUACUGCGCAAAGUACACACAGUGA